GGACGUGAUAAGCUGCGAUAAGCUAUGGGGAGUUGCACGUAAACUUUGAUCCAUAGAUUUCCGAAUGAGGAAACUCACCAUGAGUAAUGUCAUGGUAUCUUCGAGUGAAUACAUAGCUCGUUGAGGGGAACUCGGGGAACUGAAACAUCUAAGUACCCGAAGGAAGAGAAAGAAAUUCGAUUCCGCUAGUAGCGGCGAGCGAACGCGGAACAGCCCAAACCUAAGAAGUUCGCUUCUUAGGGGUUGCGGACAUAUCAUCAGGAAGAGGUUAUUACAGACGAAGAGUUUUGGAAAGCUCCGCCAUAGAAGGUAACAGCCCUGUAGUCGAAGUGAGAAGACUUCCGAUAUGAUCCAGAGUACCACGGGACA
Molecule: ribosomal RNA, 369 nt
Filed under: Acinetobacter baumannii
Lineage: Bacteria; Pseudomonadati; Pseudomonadota; Gammaproteobacteria; Moraxellales; Moraxellaceae
Description: partial 23S ribosomal RNA
Rfam family: Bacterial large subunit ribosomal RNA
Source: RNAcentral